Molecule: ribosomal RNA, 436 nt
Filed under: uncultured bacterium
Lineage: Bacteria
Description: partial 16S ribosomal RNA
Rfam family: Bacterial small subunit ribosomal RNA
Source: RNAcentral
UGGGGAAUAUUGGACAAUGGGCGAAAGCCUGAUCCAGCCAUGCCGCGUGUGUGAAGAAGGUCUUCGGAUUGUAAAGCACUUUAAGUUGGGAGGAAGGGCAGUAAAUUAAUACUUUGCUGUUUUGACGUUACCGACAGAAUAAGCACCGGCUAACUCUGUGCCAGCAGCCGCGGUAAUACAGAGGGUGCAAGCGUUAAUCGGAAUUACUGGGCGUAAAGCGCGCGUAGGUGGUUCGUUAAGUUGGAUGUGAAAUCCCCGGGCUCAACCUGGGAACUGCAUUCAAAACUGACGAGCUAGAGUAUGGUAGAGGGUGGUGGAAUUUCCUGUGUAGCGGUGAAAUGCGUAGAUAUAGGAAGGAACACCAGUGGCGAAGGCGACCACCUGGACUGAUACUGACACUGAGGUGCGAAAGCGUGGGGAGCAAAACAGGAUUAGA